GAUGAACGCUGGCGGCAUGCCUAAUACAUGCAAGUCGAGCGAACGGACGAGAAGCUUGCUUCUCUGAUGUUAGCGGCGGACGGGUGAGUAACACGUGGAUAACCUACCUAUAAGACUGGGAUAACUUCGGGAAACCGGAGCUAAUACCGGAUGAUAUUUUGAACAGCAUGGUUCAAAAGUGAAAGACGGUCUUGCUGUCACUUAUAGAUGGAUCCGCGCUGCAUUAGCUAGUUGGUAAGGUAACGGCUUACCAAGGCAACGAUGCAUAGCCGACCUGAGAGGGUGAUCGGCCACCCUGGAACUGAGACACGGUCCAGACUCCUACGUGAGGCAGCAGUAGGGAAUCUUCCGCAAAGGGCGAAAGCCUGACGGAGCAACGCCGCGUGAGGGAUGAAGGUCUUCGGAUCGUAAAACUCUGUUAUUAGGGAAGAACAUAUGUGUACGUAACUGUGCACAUCUUGACGGUACCUAAUCAGAAAGCCACGGCUAACUACGUG
This 497-nucleotide ribosomal RNA is filed under the name uncultured bacterium. RNAcentral's name for it is "partial 16S ribosomal RNA". It matches the Rfam family "Bacterial small subunit ribosomal RNA", at positions 28 to 507 of the family's 1533-position model. The record is from RNAcentral.